Molecule: ribosomal RNA, 295 nt
Filed under: uncultured bacterium
Lineage: Bacteria
Description: partial 16S ribosomal RNA
Rfam family: Bacterial small subunit ribosomal RNA
Source: RNAcentral
UUCCUACGGGAGGCAGCGGUGGGGAAUAUUGCACAAUGGGCGAAAGCCUGAUGCAGCAACGCCGCGUGAGCGAUGAAGGCCUUCGGGUCGUAAAGCUCUGUCCUCAAGGAAGGUAAUGACGGUACUUGAGGAGGAAGCCCCGGCUAACUACGUGCCAGCAGCCGCGGUAAUACGUAGGGGGCUAGCGUUAUCCGGAAUUACUGGGCGUAAAGGGUGCGUAGGUGGUUUCUUAAGUCGGAGGUGCAAGGCUACGGCUCAACCGUCGUAAGCCUUUGCACCUGGGGAACUUGAGUGC